UACGUAGGUGGCAAGCGUUGUCCGGAUUUAUUGGGUUUAAAGGGUGCGUAGGCGGUCUUUUAAGUCAGUGCUGAAAUAUCCCGGCUUAACCGGGAGGGUGGCAUUGAUACUGAAGGACUUGAGUACAGUCGAGGUAGGCGGAAUUGACGGUGUAGCGGUGAAAUGCUUAGAUAUCGUCAAGAACACCGAUAGUGUAGACAGCUUACUAGGCUGAAACUGACGCUGAGGCACGAAAGCGUGGGGAUCAAACAGG
Molecule: ribosomal RNA, 253 nt
Filed under: uncultured bacterium
Lineage: Bacteria
Description: partial 16S ribosomal RNA
Rfam family: Bacterial small subunit ribosomal RNA
Source: RNAcentral